UGGCUCAGAGGUUAAAGCGUCUGCCUGCAAUGCGGGAGACCUGGGUUCGAUCCCAG
RNAcentral lists this transfer RNA (56 nucleotides) under Capra hircus (goat). It matches the Rfam family "tRNA", at positions 8 to 63 of the family's 71-position model. Rfam says of the family: Transfer RNA (tRNA) molecules are approximately 80 nucleotides in length. Their secondary structure includes four short double-helical elements and three loops (D, anti-codon, and T loops). The record is from Rfam by way of RNAcentral. Lineage: Eukaryota; Metazoa; Chordata; Mammalia; Artiodactyla; Bovidae. RNAcentral also lists the same sequence under 1 other name.